Molecule: ribosomal RNA, 221 nt
Filed under: uncultured bacterium
Lineage: Bacteria
Description: partial 16S ribosomal RNA
Rfam family: Bacterial small subunit ribosomal RNA
Source: RNAcentral
AGUAAUGUCUGGGAAACUGCCUGAUGGAGGGGGAUAACUACUGGAAACGGUAGCUAUACCGCAUAACGUCGCAAGACCAAAGUGGGGGACCUUCGGGCCUCAUGCCAUCAGAUGUGCCCAGAUGGGAUUAGCUAGUAGGUGGGGUAACGGCUCACCUAGGCGACGAUCCCUAGCUGGUCUGAGAGGAUGACCAGCCACACUGGAACUGAGACACGGUCCAG